GAUUUUAUUUUUAAGCAGUCUCUACGCUUAUCGUGGGGCUCGAACUCACAACCCUGAGAUCCAAGAGUUGAAUGCUCUACCUACUAAGCCAACCAGGGGUCUUGCCAAAAUUUUAUAUUGAAAUAAAGUUAAGGCUUAAAGCUUUAGGCUUUUUCACAGAAGCCUAAAAAUAAAAACGUAUUGAAAGAUAACUUGAAAUUGAUGCUAGGACAGCUUUUAGGUCUUCCUUAGCUUAUCCCUUCCCUAUUUAAGUCAUUUAUCUAAACUCAUUUUAGGGUCAGUCUGGAUUGAUACAUUUAACUCAAAAUUUAAAAAGAAAUUAGUCUAUUCUGCAAUUUCAUACUGUUUGCACUUUGUGAGAGAAGGAAAAAAUUUUUUCAACAAAGGAGAUCUUCUUAGAGCUUAAAACUCGUCAGGGUGUAGUAUCUUAGGAGUACAAUAAAUAAUGACUAAAAGUGAUUGUAAAGUUUUACAAUCAGUUAUAAGAUUAGCAUUUCAAAUCCCUUAUGUAUAUGGGCAUCAAAUUUUUUUUAAGUGGGAAUUCAGUAUUAAGUAGACCUUAUAAAAAUGCUUAUAAAAAUGAUUUUUAUGUAGCCAGGCUAUCCAGAUUUGUUUGGGGGAAUAUUAAAAAAAAAAAAAAAAAAGGAAGAAAGAAGAAAAAAACAAAACUAUUAUUGGAGGAUGUGACUUAAUCACAAAUGGCUGUCUGCCUUCGUGCCUUAAUUCGGGGGCUUGUGUUUAAAAGUACUUGUUUUCUUUUUCUGUGGCAUGUAAGUAUGUGUAGUGUACAUAUCCUCACUGACAAUCAUGGUCCUCUUGUUCCACCUCUGUAGGGUAACAUGUCUUUGAAGACCACUCCAGUGUUGACUCAUUCACUGGUAGACCAAUCUAUACGCUCUGCAUAUGUGGUUUAAAUUUGAGCAGCUGUAUUUGUAUGAUAUAGUAACAUUAAUUUUUACUGAUAUAAAAAUAACUGAAUCAGAGGAGCUAUCUUAGUGUAUUAGAAAGAAAACUGGGCUCAACAUUAGAGAACUAGUUUGUGUUCUUCUGCUUUACAAAAAGUAAUCUUAAAGUCUUCUGGGCCAUUUUAUGAAGAAAUUCUAUGUUAGUCUCAAAAUGAACGUGGCUCUUCUAACUGUGAACUUUGGGAACUUAAUCUGACUGCAAUUCUUGAAGUCUCUAGAUUUUUCAGAGUUUAAGACUAUCCAACUAGAUUUGGAGGGGUGUGUGGAUUUGGGGACCUGGAUGACCAUGAUUUACACAAUUAAAUAUGUCUAUAUCACUAAUAAUUAUGAAACAAUUAGGGGACAGCUCAUGUUAUCUUAAAAAUUACUAAAGAAUAGAAAUAAGAGACUUCACAUUGAUAGUACUUUUGGUUUUAUGUACUUUCCAUGGUAUUUAUGUAUAUAAUAGAAGCCUGUCUCACCAGAUUUUGACAUUUCAGGUUAGUACUCCAGUAGUUAAGCAAGGACCGGUUUCACAAUCGGCCACACAGCAGCCUGUAACUGCUGACAAACAGCAAGGUCAUGAACCUGUCUCUCCUCGAAGUCUUCAGCGCUCAAAGUAAGUUCAUGUGUGUUGAAACAUUUUUUUCAUUAAUGUUGCAUGCUGCAUUGUUUGAAUAUUAUAAAAAUAUAUGUAUAAUAGAACUUGAUCUUGUAAGAAUCCAUGGUUAGCCUAAGUUUUAUGUAUUAUAAGAUUUACAAAGGCAAAUCUUACUCCAAGUAGGUUGUUGUCUCUAGUAAUGAAGCCAGCUUAUUUUUUGAAGAAAGUCAUUCUUCAGAUUUUACUUAAUAGAAUAUGAUAGGAGUAACAAUAUGUCAUACUUGUACAAACGAGGGCACCUGAUUUUAUAAUACUUGUUGGAAAUGACAUCAUUUUUUAACCUCCUCAUAGCAGUUUUAGAUAUGAGUGUAUUGCUGAAUCCAAAAAUGGGAAAUACUAUUUCUCAACUGGUAUGUGUCAGGUUUUCCUAAGAGCUUCAAUUUUGACCCCUGUGUGGAGUGCUUGUCAGAUAGGGCUGUAUUGUGUUACAUGUUUCUUUGUUAAUUAACAAAUACAACUUUAAAUGAUUUUCCUUUGAUUGAU
Molecule: long non-coding RNA, 2088 nt
Filed under: Canis lupus familiaris (dog)
Lineage: Eukaryota; Metazoa; Chordata; Mammalia; Carnivora; Canidae
Description: lncRNA (ENSCAFG00030010491.1)
Source: RNAcentral